This 700-nucleotide long non-coding RNA is filed under the name Salmo salar (Atlantic salmon). RNAcentral describes it as "lncRNA (ENSSSAG00000112046.1)". Lineage: Eukaryota; Metazoa; Chordata; Actinopteri; Salmoniformes; Salmonidae. The record is from RNAcentral.
UAAAAAUAAUAAUAAUUCAGUGUGUUUUUUUAUUUAAUUACAGCUGCAUAGCUAAUGUUAUUAUUUGGUGUACAAACACUUUUUCAUAUCAAUAUUGUACAUACAUGUGAUUGUAAAAGUUUUGUAUAUUUUGGUUUGGCCCAUCGCGGGUUAUCUGUAUAUCCGUACCCCCUCAUUGUUCUCUUUUGCCUGACCUUCGGCAUAGCAAGGGCAAAUAAAAAUAAUUCAACCAGCAGACCUCCAGUUGUGGCAGUGUCCUAAUUAAAAGUACACAACGCAGAACGAACCACGCUACACGUGCAUUGGAGAGACAGAUGCCAACAAGAUAAAAAUACAUUUGAAAUGUCUUUAUUAGUUUGGAACUUUUACAGCCAGAAACAGAAUUACCCACCAAACCAGGACCAAGCGGCGGAAGAGGAAGGAGCAGCAGGACUACUGCGUUAUGGACAAAUGGACAUGGGAACAGAUCCUGGACGGAGAGGGACCAUGGACUCAGGCUGGGGAUUAUCGCCUCCCGCAGUGGGAGAUUGAAGCGGCGAGAGCGGAGAGGCGAUACUACGAGGAGAGAGAGCGCAACGAGCGCGAGAGGCAGCCCCAAUAUUUUUUUGGGGGGGGGCACACGGGACAGUCGGUGGAGCUGAGGUCGGAACCAGAGCCAGUCGGGAUGACAUUGGAGGUGAGCGAGGGCUAUGAGACAGAG